RNAcentral lists this long non-coding RNA (1034 nucleotides) under Sus scrofa (pig). Its description in RNAcentral is "lncRNA (ENSSSCG00030003804.1)". Lineage: Eukaryota; Metazoa; Chordata; Mammalia; Artiodactyla; Suidae. The record is from RNAcentral.
AGCACAGUUGGAGAUACUGUGUUGAGAAGCCUUCGCUCAUGGCAGUGUUUUCCCUGUUCAUUUUCGGCUGCUUCUUGCAUUGGAAAAUUCCAUCCUUUAACACUGGGAUUAUAUGUCACCAUUGCUGAAAUCAUAAGAGUCUACUUAAUUGGCUUGCAAGCAUGAGAGAUAGCCAGAGAGAAUGGGAGAGGCCGAGCAUUCCCUUGCAUAAAGAGGGGAUUCAACAAGACUGAAAAUUACACAGCCUCUUAGGGGGCCCUCAAUGGAGACAUGAUGGAUCACGUGACCACCUUUUCUUCCUGCUUCCCCACUUUGCUCCCUCCUGCCCUUGACUCCUGUCCUCUGGACGCACUCUCCAAAAUAAUCUUCCUUUCCAAAAGCCCUCGUCACAGGCUCUGCUUUCUGCAAGGAACUCGAGGCAGGACAGCAUGAUGAUACACUAGAAUGAAGGCGAAUUGUCUGUCUGUGAAUGGGCUUCAAAGAGAACUUGGGGAAACACCAGACCAGAGGCUCAUUGGAAUCAGAGCAUACAGAAUAGAAUGGACAGGCCCCCAUCCAGCUCUCACAAGUUCAAGUAUACGCUAACAAGUAUCUGAGUCUUCCACGAAGAACAGGAGGAGAAGCUCCCCCAGCCUGGUCAAGCCUUUUGAACAUCUGUAAAAGUACAUGUGACACGGAGAAGAAGCAGAGAACAAAAGAGCGUGUGGACAAACAUUCAGGAAUCCCAAUCGCAGGAGACUUUGGCCCUCUUUCUAGAUCUAAUUAUAAAACUGCAAAUGAUGCUGGCCUAUUCCAAGGAAGUUGUUGCUCUCACUCUAGAUGUGGUCUCUGGCGACAAGUAAAGGUGGGGAAGAUGGGGGCAGGGAGCGCCUCUUUGCCUCUGUCAUGAUCCAUUGUGAGCCAGUGUGGCCUUUCCAUCAGCCCGGUUGUUGGCUGCAUGCUCAGGAUUCUGAAAAAUCUAGUUACCUCCCUGUAUCUUUCUGUACCUGUAGAGAGUACAUCUGUAUGAUCUAGUCCAGUGGUUCUCAGAAUGU